RNAcentral lists this ribosomal RNA (253 nucleotides) under uncultured bacterium. RNAcentral describes it as "partial 16S ribosomal RNA". It matches the Rfam family "Bacterial small subunit ribosomal RNA", at positions 524 to 776 of the family's 1533-position model. The record is from RNAcentral.
UACGUAGGGGGCAAGCGUUGUCCGGAUUUAUUGGGCGUAAAGAGCGUGUAGGCGGCCAGACAGGUCCGUUGUGAAAACUCGAGGCUCAACCUCGAGACGCCGAUGGAAACCGUCUGGCUAGAGUCCGGAAGAGGAGAGUGGAACUCCUGGUGUAGCGGUGAAAUGCGCAGAUAUCAGGAAGAACACCCGUGGCUAAGGCGGCUCUCUAGUACGGUACUGACGCUGAGACGCGAAAGCGUGGGGAGCGAACAGG